RNAcentral lists this ribosomal RNA (424 nucleotides) under uncultured bacterium. RNAcentral's name for it is "bacterial SSU rRNA". It matches the Rfam family "Bacterial small subunit ribosomal RNA", at positions 355 to 772 of the family's 1533-position model. The record is from RNAcentral.
UAGGGAAUCUUGCGCAAUGGGCGAAAGCCUGACGCAGCGACGCCGCGUGAGCGAUGAAGGCCCUCGGGUUGUAAAGCUCUGUGGGGAGAGAAGAAUAAGGGCGAGCCAAUACCUCGCUCGAUGACGGGACCCCCUUAGCCAGCACCGGCUAACUCUGUGCCAGCAGCCGCGGUAAGACAGAGGGUGCAAACGUUGUUCGGAAUUACUGGGCGUAAAGCGUGUGUAGGCGGCUAUGUAAGUCGGGCGUGAAAUCCCACGGCUCAACCGUGGAAGUGCACCCGAAACUGCGUAGCUAGAGUCCUGGAGAGGAAGGUGGAAUGCUUGGUGUAGAGGUGAAAUUCGUAGAUAUCAAGCGGAACACCGGUGGCGAAGGCGGCCUUCUGGACAGUGACUGACGCUGAGACGCGAAAGCGUGGGGAGCAAA